AAACCUAAUCACUCUUCUGUCAAGUGGUCAUUUAUUAUUUUAGAGCUUUCAUUUCUGAUUUGUUAGAAUAUCAUCUCAUUCUCUCUCUCUCUCUCUCUCUCUCAGAUGCUCCUCAGUUCUCUCCCUCCUCCAGCUGUAACACCACUCAGGAUCUGAUCCUGUGUUCCUGUGAGGUUCAUGGAAAUCCGUCUCCUAAACUGGAGUGGCGUCUCUCAGGUCAAACUGUCCUGCCGUCAGAAGCCACGCCCAUCCAAGUGGAGUCUGUGGGCAACACGAGUUUAAGAAGAUCCAGUGCGUUUUCCAUCCCUCAGUCAGUUAAGGACACGCCCACUCUGCAGUGUGUUGGCUCCAAUAAUCUGGGCAACGCCUCUCAGGUCUUCUUCUUCAUAACUAAGGCUCAGAGGCCUGCUGAAGAACACACUGCAGUACUUUAUCUGGUUCUAUCUCUCUCUGUGGUUCUCCUUCUGUGUGUUGGUGUUAUUGGAUUUCUCGUCUACAAAUUAAAGCAAUUGUCCAGGAAAAUAAAGGUUCUACAGACAGGAGAUACUUAUGCUUCUCUCCAGCUCUCUGCUGUACAGAACUCUGAUUAUGAAACUCUGCAGACUAACAGAGGGAGGAGAGAAAAAAAGAACAACUCCUGAAAAGCUGCACUUUUUCAUCACUUAUUUUUCUGCCAGUAAAAUAAUUAUCAUUGAAGAAUAUUAAAGAUAUAAAGGAAUGUGCUGGCAUACAUUUUAUCAGUUUAUAGUUACAUGUAAUGUUGUGGAACUUUGAUGAAACAAGUUAGUUUCUGUUCCCAGUUACAUUAUAGCAAUUAUAAACUUGUUUACAUGCAAGUUAACUAAUAAUGUUUGCAUUUGCAUUAGCCUUAAUUAAACCACAUAAUUGCUAUUUUUACAGUGUAGCUACCAUAAACAUUUGGUAAAUCACUUAGUUGCUACUAUAACUGCUGUUUUACUCUUA
This is a long non-coding RNA of Pangasianodon hypophthalmus (striped catfish), 963 nucleotides long. RefSeq lists it as uncharacterized. The transcript is spliced from 5 exons. The record is from RefSeq and is a predicted model, not a curated record. Lineage: Eukaryota; Metazoa; Chordata; Actinopteri; Siluriformes; Pangasiidae.